UCGGGCUCUCUGUCUCUCUGCUGGGAAGACAGAGAGUCCGCCGGUGCUUUUACACUAGAUAUCUAGCUCACAUAUACGCCCCCUUUGAGAUAGUUGCUGUGAAGGCUGGCUAACGCUACCAGAUAGGGCUAAGGUAAAUUACUGCAUUUUAUGUAGCGUUUUUAUCCAAAGUGCUUUACAAUUUUUUUGCCAUUCACACACACACUCACACACCAAUAGCAGUGAGCUACCAUGCAAGGGAUCAAUUUGGGGUUCAGUGUCUUGCCCAAGGACACUUCAACACGUGGACAGGAGGAGCGGGGGCAGCCAGCCAGAGUUUUGCUAUUUAUACUUUGCACAGCAACUGCUACCACAGUCCGGGGAGUAACCAUCUGAAAUCUACCUUGGAGCGUGGAGUUCCUCUUUAAGCAACUUAGUGCAUUGAAAUCUUUCAAAGCAGGCCUUAAUUCUUUUUUGCCAGUUCAUCAUCAAGCUCAACUUGUAAGUUAACAUCGAUCAGAAGUCCUAGAGUUGUUCAGAAAAACAUCUACACUUCCUUGUCAACUGAGCAAACUCCAUCUGCUGAUGAAGACAAUGUGAUAUGGCCAGAAGCUCCAGAAGAAGUGCGAGGAAACCUCCAAACCGACUUCACCGCCCUCAGCCACAACUGAGGAGCUCUGUCAUUCUCCUGCUGCAGCUCUGAGGGGACAGAGGCGCUCAAGAGAGAGGAAAAUGGAGACUAAAGGGGAGGGAAGAGGAGAGGUUUUUUUUACAGUAACAAGCCCUCAGAAAAAGAAACUUUGAAGACUGAUCAGCAUAGAACUGGAGGAUGAUACCUUUCCACAGAGGUUUAAGACCCAACAUUCUCUGUUUUAAAUAUACAUGUAAGACAUUAAGGAAUCUUUGCUACCACCAUGAUUCACAAGCUGCUCCAUCUGGCAUCGACACCAACAAACACACCUGCAGUCACAGCAGGUAUCAAGGGGCAUCAUUACCAUUAAUAUCGCAACAACAAGGCCAUGGUUAACAGCUGAAGUGAAAGCCCAGCAUAUGAAGAGUUGUUUCGACAACGUGAACACUUGCAAGUCAUAAACAUAGAAAUCUUUCCCCCUGCCAACCAUUCUUUUUUGGCGAGGGGCGAGUGGAAAACACAGCUGGAUGAUGAAUACUGAAAUCUUUCUCUCAUCAUGGUUUCAGAGGGAGACAACGUUUGGAACGUUAUGAAUUUCAGUUAAAGUUGAAUGAAACAUAUUAUGUUGUUAUAUUAUGUUAUGUUAUGCUGUAAGGUUUUAAGGUUAUUAAAAAAAAUUAAAACCUUUCAUCCCCCCCAUCCAUUUAGCAGCUUGGCUUGAUGGAUAUGUUUCUGCCUUAAUAUGAUAAUAAUACAAUAAUGCCUUUGUUCUGUGCUUUACAAACAGGGAAGGGUUUUAAGUGUUUAAAUUGGAGAGGCAAUAAAGAUAUCUGGUUCCUUCUUGGUAAAUCUCCAGGACACUACAAUGUGCACACUCAUCCUGCUUCAUUUCCCACUAAGUCGUUUAUCACUCUGUCAAAUAAAGACGUGACAGGAUUUAUUGGAGUCUCACUGUUAUGGUGCUACUGUAACAGCCCACAAGUCACUGAGAGGCAAAUUAGGAUUCAUUGAAUGUUUUCAGACUGAGUCCAUUGUUUGAGUUUAUAAGUUUUGUUUGCAUUUUUCAUGCGUUGAAUGCAUUUCUUUUUCAUAAAGAUGACUAAGUUCUUUAGUGAUUUUCAUCCACUUGUUCAAACACUUAGAUAAGAAUCAGUGGUGGUCUAGGAUGUAAAAUAAUAAAAACAAUUUGAAGAUCUAUAUGCCAGCCAAAAUGUUUGCUGUCUCUUUGUCUCACAGAAGAACCUACCAACCCACUCAGUCCUGUUGACAGAUGUAAUAUGGAGUUACGUAUUGGAUUUAGGAGCCAACCAUAAAUUGUAAUGUGUCAUGUUCUGCCUCUCUGUCCCCCUCUUCAGCUGCAUUCCCACUUCCUCAAAACCAUAAAUUGUCAUUCCCUACCUGUCCACCAGAUGCCUCAGACUUUUUCACCAGACUUCCUCAUUCACCUGCUCACCUGUUCUCACUUCCCUCCGUCACUCACUACUCAUACCAGCCCAGAUCCUUUGUUCCUUUGCUAGUUCAUCAUACUUGCCAUGUGCUCUGUACUUUGGGUUUCGAGCAACCUGAACCCGACUCUUACUCUACUCCUUUACCUGGACCUGAAUUUGAAUCUGCCUGCCUGUCAGCUUGUCAACCAGUACCAGAACUUGUACCUGACUGCCUAUCAACAGCCCUGUACAAAGAACCCAGCCCAGCUCUUAGUUUUUGCACUGUACAAAGAGCCUAGCUCUUUGUAAAGUGUACUCUUUGUUUUGUACCAAAACCCCAAUAAACAGAAGUUGAAAUUUUUACUGGUCCACCACAGCUUUCACCAGUUGUUAUUUGUCUAUAUUAUUGUAGUAAUGUCGUGAUAUUAUUUCAGCCCUA
Long non-coding RNA from Siniperca chuatsi (mandarin fish), 2476 nucleotides. RefSeq lists it as uncharacterized. The transcript is spliced from 6 exons. The record is from RefSeq and is a predicted model, not a curated record. Lineage: Eukaryota; Metazoa; Chordata; Actinopteri; Centrarchiformes; Sinipercidae.